RNAcentral lists this transfer RNA (68 nucleotides) under Marmota monax (woodchuck). RNAcentral describes it as "tRNA.Ala". The record is from RNAcentral. Lineage: Eukaryota; Metazoa; Chordata; Mammalia; Rodentia; Sciuridae.
GGAUUGUGGCUCAGAGGUAGAGCGCUCACCUAGCAUGUGCAGGGCCCUGGGUUCGAUUCUCAACACCA